GACGAACGCUGGCGGCGUGCUUAACACAUGCAAGUCGAACGGAAAGGCCCUUCUUUUGUGGGGUGCUCGAGUAGCGAACGAGUGAGUAACAAGUGAGUAACCUGCCCUUGACGUUGGGCUAACUUCAAGAAACUGGGGCUAAUAACGGAUAGGAGCUCCUGCUGCAUGGUGGGGGUUGGAAUGCUUCGGCGGUUGGGGAUGGACUCGCGGCUUAUCAGCUUGUUGGUGGGGUAGUGGCUUACCAAGGCUUUGACGGGUAGCCGGCCUGAGAGGGUGACCGGCCACAUUGGGACUGAGAUACGGCCCAGACUCCUACGGGAGGCAGCAGUGGGGAAUAUUGCACAAUGGGCGGAAGCCUGAUGCAGCAACGCCGCGUGCGGGAUGACGGCCUUCGGGUUGUAAACCGCUUUCGCCUGUGACGAAGCGUGAGUGACGGUAAUGGGUAAAGAAGCACCGGCUAACUACGUG
This 468-nucleotide ribosomal RNA is filed under the name uncultured bacterium. Its description in RNAcentral is "partial 16S ribosomal RNA". It matches the Rfam family "Bacterial small subunit ribosomal RNA", at positions 28 to 507 of the family's 1533-position model. The record is from RNAcentral.